UACGAAGGGUGCAAGCGUUGUUCGGAAUGACUGGGCGUAAAGGGUUCGUAGGCGGGAAUAUAAGUUAAGUGUGAAAUCCCUGGGCUUAACCCAGGACGUGCACUUAAAACUGUGUUUCUUGAGUACUGGAGGGGGUUGGGGAAUUGCUGGUGUAGGAGUGACAUCCGUAGAGAUCAGCAGGAACACCGGAGGCGAAGGCGCCAACCUGGACAGAUACUGACGCUGAGGAACGAAAGCGUGGGGAGCAAACAGG
RNAcentral lists this ribosomal RNA (253 nucleotides) under uncultured bacterium. Its description in RNAcentral is "partial 16S ribosomal RNA". It matches the Rfam family "Bacterial small subunit ribosomal RNA", at positions 524 to 776 of the family's 1533-position model. The record is from RNAcentral.